Long non-coding RNA from Gasterosteus aculeatus aculeatus (three-spined stickleback), 377 nucleotides. The record is from Ensembl. Lineage: Eukaryota; Metazoa; Chordata; Actinopteri; Perciformes; Gasterosteidae.
GUCUUUUCAGUCUUUUAUAUGAAAGUGUAAGUGAGUGAAGUGACUUUUAGUUAACUAGUACGUGUUCUCUGUGCAGCUGCAGUCUGCUUGUGUCCACUUCAUAGCAGCCAAACACACCACUCCCUUCACACGCUACGUGGAGCACAUCAACUACCGGCUGGCCUCCUGUCACUUCUUCUCCUGCUGUCACCUUUCCGUAGCUUUUCACUCCCAACUAAAGUGCUGACUCAGGCCAUGUCCAUCUCUGAGACCUGGUAUGCCGUUAAAGACCACGGCACCAACUACUGCAACAUCUACGAGCUCAUCCAAGGAAACUAACCCCCGGAACUCCUACGGCAUGAAACCAUUUCAGAAUAAAAGCUUGUACAAAAUAAAAG